GCUUGUUUCUUCUAUAAGUGGGGAAAAUAACAUCUGUUUUAUCAGCCUAGCAGUAUUGUUGUUAGGAUUAAAAUAUUAUAAGCACAUAUAUAUGUAUAUCUGUAUGUGUCUAUGCAUGCAUAUGUAUAAAGUUAUUGCAGGAUUUUAAUAAAUAUUAACCAUGAUUAUUGCUGUUAUUUGAUAGCCCUAUGACUCUGGCAUAUAAUCAGGGCUAAAAUGUUAGAAUAUAUUCAAUCCUCUAUGUCUUUGGCUUUGUAUUCUAGUCCUCAUAUUUAGGGUAAAAAUAGAUCUGUGUGGGGUAAAGUGAAGAGAGAAUGAAUGAGCAUUAACCUUGUUAAUGGCUGAUACAAAGAGAUUUCAGAUAUAAACAGAAAGUCAGUGAGGGCAGUAGUGGUAAUUAUACUCUGAAAUGGAGAACAGAUUUUCAUUUAUCUCUAAAUUUCUGUCAUUUUCAUUUGGGAGAUUCAUUGUAUAAACAACCCAAAGCCCCUAACUAUCUUACAAAAGAAAGACUGUAGAUGUUUCAAUGCAGUAACCUUGCCUAGCUGCUGUAGCAACUAUCCACAAGGCAGCAGGAUUGCAUUCUGUAGCCGCCAGUUGAUGCCAAUGAAUAAAACAUCUCUGAAAGGAAGAAAUAAAUCAUUUCUACUUGUAAGAAUAAGUAAAAACAGAGAUAAUUACUCUUUUGCCAGAAAAUCAAUAUUUUGUUCAAGGAUCCCUGCCUUCUCUACUUAAAUGUGUUUUGGUUUGAGGGAAUCAAACUUUUCCCAGUUUUGAGGGAUGCUUCUGAGGGGCAUAUCCUAUGGUGUGGAGACACGAUUAUCCAUUUACAAAGAGAGAAGAGAGGAAAAAAGCCACCAUGUGAAGAAGGACAUGUUUGUUUCCCCUGGGGCCUCUCCAUCCUUGCUGAACUAUGGUACGUCUCUCCUUCAUGUGCUGCCUGGGGUUGAGGAGAAGUGGCAUAGAGAUACAAGCCUCCUGGGUGAUGAGAAAGACAGAGAAGCAUUUUUCAUAGAGAGUUGCCAGGAUUGCUCAGCAUCCAGAUCAACCAUGAAAGGCACCAGGAGAAUGAACAUCUGCAUUUUUCUUGUCCAUGAUUCUUCUACAUAAUGCUACUGAAGCGAAGAUAAUCUUUAAUUGUAGAAACAAGAAGAGAAGCAAAUAUAUUACUAGUAUCCAGAAGCUCCUUCACAGUUUUCAGAUAAUGCUAAUGAGCUAGUUCCUGGUUUGUAUCACAAACUUCUCCCAAAUUCUUCCCCUAAACAUUCCUUCAUGGUGGAGCUAAUUAGACUAUUGCAGCUCCACCGUUCAUUACUGCUUGUAUUUUGUAAAAAUUAGUGCAUAUGUCAUGGGCCUAGGGAUACAUCCAUUGCAGGGAAAUGGGAGUAGGGCAUUCCCAGUUUUAGCUAUAAUUGAAAAUUAUUCUUAGGGACGAAAAUGCCAUUGAAUAAUUCUGCCUUUUCUCCUCCUUGUUCUCUCUCUCUCUCUCUCUCUGUCUCUCUCAUAUCUAUCUUCUUUCUUUCUUUCUUUCUUUCUUUCUUUCUUUCUUUCUUUCUUUCUUUCUCUCUCUCUCUCUCUCUCUCUUUACUAAGUCUGGAAACCCUUAGAGUUUCUCUUGAAUAUAUCAAGCUAAUUAUUUUUAUUUUUAUUCACUACCUUUCAUGCAUUUCCUACUUCCAAUAAUCCUUUUUUAUUAAGUCUCCCAAUCCAAGUCCACCCUCACUCAAAAGUGACCUUCCCAGAGUAGGGUGUACAAUGCGGAGUCCACAUAAGCAUCUCUAUACUUCUA
Long non-coding RNA from Homo sapiens (human), 1789 nucleotides. The record is from Ensembl. Lineage: Eukaryota; Metazoa; Chordata; Mammalia; Primates; Hominidae.